This 216-nucleotide long non-coding RNA is filed under the name Lathyrus oleraceus (garden pea). RNAcentral describes it as "Pisum sativum (pea) long non-coding RNA (PSAT_LNC003434)". The record is from RNAcentral. Lineage: Eukaryota; Viridiplantae; Streptophyta; Magnoliopsida; Fabales; Fabaceae.
CCACCAUUUAUAAUGGGAUUAGUAAUUUCCAAAAAAAAAUCAUCUUUUUCAAGAUAAAAUUAAAUGCAAAUUGCAUUUAAUUUACUUUCUCUCUCAUCUUUUCUAUAACCAACAACUAGUAAGAAUUAUUUUUUUAUCUUUAAAAUAAUUUUUUUUAACAAAAUUUUAGUCAAAUUAUUAUAUUUUUUAUUUUUCUUAUGUGAUUUUUAUUUUUUC